This 402-nucleotide ribosomal RNA is filed under the name uncultured Hypotrichia. RNAcentral describes it as "partial small subunit ribosomal RNA". It matches the Rfam family "Eukaryotic small subunit ribosomal RNA", at positions 30 to 432 of the family's 1831-position model. The record is from RNAcentral. Lineage: Eukaryota; Ciliophora; Spirotrichea.
GCUUGUCUCAAAGAUUAAGCCAUGCAUGUCUAAGUAUAAAUAAUUCUAUACUGUGAAACUGCGAAUGGCUCAUUAUAUCAGUUAUAGUUUAUUUGAUAGUCAAUCACUACUUGGAUAACCGUAGUAACUCUAGAGCUAAUACAUGCUGGUUAGCCUGACUUCGAGGAAGGGCUGUAUUUAUUAGAUAACAAACCAAUAUUCUUCGUGUCUAUUGUGAUGACUCAUAAUAACUGAUCGAAUCGCAUGGUCCUUGACCGCGAUAAAUCAUUCAAGUUUCUGCCCCAUCAGCUUUCGAUGGUAGUGUAUUGGACUACCAUGGCUUUAACGGGUAACGGAGGAUUAGGGUUCGAUUCCGGAGAGGGAGCCUGAGAAACGGCUACCACAUCUAAGGAAGGCAGCAGG